RNAcentral lists this ribosomal RNA (559 nucleotides) under Gephyromantis sculpturatus. RNAcentral's name for it is "partial 16S ribosomal RNA". It matches the Rfam family "Bacterial large subunit ribosomal RNA", at positions 1839 to 2616 of the family's 2925-position model. Lineage: Eukaryota; Metazoa; Chordata; Amphibia; Anura; Mantellidae. The record is from RNAcentral.
UAAAACAUAAGAGGUCCAGCCUGCCCAGUGACCCAGUUAACGGCCGCAGUACCCUAACCGCGCGAAGGUAGCAUAAUCACUUGUUCUUUAAAUGAGGACUAGAAUCAACGGCACCACGAGGGUUAUACUGUCUCCUUUCUCUAAUCAGUGAAACUAAUCUCCCCGUGAAGAAGCGGGGAUAAAACUAUAAGACGAGAAGACCCCAUGGAGCUUUAAACCUAGCCACACCCAGAAUCUUUAUACCUAACUAUUAUCUGAACCCUGUAAGCUAGGCUUUAGGUUGGGGUGACCGCGGAGUAAAACAAAACCUCCGCAAUGAACGAAACUACCGUCUUAUCUAAGAAUAAUCCCUCUAAGAAUUAGCACUCUAACAUAAAUGAUCCAAUUAUUGAUCAACGGACCAAGUUACCCUGGGGAUAACAGCGCAAUCCACUUCAAGAGCUCCUAUCGACAGGUGGGUUUACGACCUCGAUGUUGGAUCAGGGUAUCCCAGUGGUGUAGCAGCUACUAAUGGCUCGUUUGUUCAACGAUUAAGACCCUACNUGAUCUGAGUUCGGAC